AGAGGUAGGCUCAAGGGUUGAUGGCGAUAGACUCAUAAGCCUGAGGUCAGUGGUUCGAUCCCACUUCCCGCUACCA
Molecule: transfer RNA, 76 nt
Filed under: Candidatus Pelagibacter ubique HIMB083
Lineage: Bacteria; Pseudomonadati; Pseudomonadota; Alphaproteobacteria; Candidatus Pelagibacterales; Candidatus Pelagibacteraceae
Description: tRNA-OTHER
Source: RNAcentral